AUGGAGGACGAAAUGUCCAGCUCGGUUGCUUGGCAGAUAGGGAGGAGGAAGCCUGAGGACCUGGAUGAAAAUUUUAGCUGUGUUGACCUCGGAGAAUCUCAGCGUGUCCUUGUUAUGCUCCGUACUAGUUGUAGACUCCAGAACAAGAAACGGAUCCUCUGUUUUUACGGAAAAAGUCAGUUGGUGGAAUCCAUUGCCCCCUCGAAGAACAGCUUCCUCAUUUUUCUCCUCCCUGAAAUCAUCAUGGGUGUGGCCGGAUGGGGCGAUUCUGCCACCUUCCUCAUCAGGAAUCCCAGGAGUAAUGGAACCUGGCAAGGAUGCGUCAGCCUCACUUGGUAAAACACUCAGAGAUGUGUGAAUCAGACCUGCCCCAAGAUCCCCUUCCUCUGCGAUUCAGAAGCCUACUUCGUAUUCUCACAGCUUCUCGUCUUCAACCAGUUUAACUCUGGGUUUUCACAGAGUAGCUGUGCACCUGGUCUAUCAGUUCCGACUCAGCUGGAGAGAAAAAUCAGGUAGAAACCUGAUUAUGAAGAGGCAGGAAUUUCCAUUCUUACUGCAUUCUUUUCCGUCGGUAAUUGAUUUGAAUUUUAACAAGUGGCAUUUUUGCUACUUUUUCUUGAGACUUAUGGGUAUAUAUGGCUGCACGAUGCUUCUAACAUCAAAUCAUCAUUGCAUUCUUGGAACGUUGUUAACUUGGUUAGGAAUUUGUCUUCCUUUAAUAGAAUUGCUAGUGUUGUAUUCAAGACUUUUUCCUUAUUUUCAUAACCCAAAUUAGACUAUAAUUUUUGUGUGUGUAAAGGGAGGAUAUCUGUGUGAUGGUUAUUUAUAAACAAGUAAGGAUACUUUCCAUAUAUUUCCUCUCUCUGUAUCUGGUAUGUUUGGAAGGAUCUAACCAAUAAAACCAUCCAUUCAGGCCCUCA
Molecule: long non-coding RNA, 920 nt
Filed under: Oryctolagus cuniculus (rabbit)
Lineage: Eukaryota; Metazoa; Chordata; Mammalia; Lagomorpha; Leporidae
Description: lncRNA (ENSOCUG00000034422.1)
Source: RNAcentral